Molecule: ribosomal RNA, 449 nt
Filed under: uncultured bacterium
Lineage: Bacteria
Description: partial 16S ribosomal RNA
Rfam family: Bacterial small subunit ribosomal RNA
Source: RNAcentral
AACGAACGCUGGCGGCAUGCCUAACACAUGCGAGUCGAACGAGAUCUUCGGGUCUAGUGGCGCACGGGUGCGUAACGCGUGGGAAUCUGCCCUUUGGUUCGGAAUAACAGUUGGAAACGACUGCUAAUACCGGACGAUGACGAAAGUCCAAAGAUUUAUCGCCAGAGGAUGAGCCCGCGUAGGAUUAGCUAGUUGGUGUGGUAAAGGCGCACCAAGGCGACGAUCCUUAGCUGGUCUGAGAGGAUGAUCAGCCACACUGGGACUGAGACACGGCCCAGGCUCCUACGGGAGGCAGCAGUGGGGAAUAUUGGACAAUGGGCGAAAGCCUGAUCCAGCAAUGCCGCGUGAGUGAUGAAGGCCUUAGGGUUGUAAAGCUCUUUUACCCGGGAUGAUAAUGACAGUACCGGGAGAAUAAGCUCCGGCUAACUCCGUGCCAGCCGCCGCAGUAA